RNAcentral lists this long non-coding RNA (14107 nucleotides) under Setaria viridis. Its description in RNAcentral is "long non-coding RNA (SVIR_LNC002901)". Lineage: Eukaryota; Viridiplantae; Streptophyta; Magnoliopsida; Poales; Poaceae. The record is from RNAcentral.
GAAGGAUGGCGUCUGUUUCCAGGGCCGUGUGGAGCCUGCAGAGGCCGGUCUCGAACGGCACGAUGACCAGGGAGGCGCCCUCCGGCCGCCGAUCGGUCGCGGCGCCGAGGUCCCGGCGCGCCAAAGCCGUCGUGGUUCGCUCCGAGUCCGGCUCGGGACGCGGCGAGCAUUGCGCCCCUGCCAGGGCCGUCGCCGACGUCGCGCCGAUUCAGGCGACGAAGAAGGUAACUGCGUGCAACUCUUACAAACUGAAUUGUUGGAAGCAGCCAAUUGGCGAAUUCACUUGGUUCGGCAGGAAGUUGCUUUUAGGCGCGUACAUCAGCACACACACCAGUACACCAGCACACGUAAAGUGAUAAAGGUUCGAUGCUUUUCAUAAAAGAUAAAAGAUAAAAGUUUUUUUUAUAAUGAACAAGAAAAAAGGUUUGAUUUUGAUGGUUCCAUUUGACUUGGACCAGUUUGGGAACAGUUCCGUUACAGCACCUUUGGUUCAACUUGUGUCUGCUUUUAUUCAAAAAAAAAAAGAACGGCGGCCCAAAACUUUUUCGACCAGUUUAGGAACAGUUCCGUUAGAGCACCUUUGGUUCAACUUUGUGUCCAUCAGAACGGCAGGCCAAAACUUUUCCAAAAAGAACUUCCGACCAUAAAGAAGCGUUGUAGGCUCACAGCCACAGCACUGUGAACAUAUAGCAGACUACAAACCGUUAAGUGCAAGUUUUUAACUGGCCUACGAGGGGCUCAUUCCCCCUUCUUCCUCCCAUCCUCUCUUUCUCUUCUUCCUCCUCCUCCUUUUUUCUCUUCUUCCUCUUACAUCCAUGGUUAAAAUUUUCAUGGGCUGCGCGGGGUAGGGGCUCUAGGCUUGGGCAUUUCUCAGGCUGGGUCGGGCUUUAGCCGGGCUAAAAAAAGUCCAGUUCAUUUCGGAUUGAAAAUUCGUACCCACAAUUAUCCCAUAGGCGUUCUCGAGCUAAUUUUUCGAACCAGGCCACUCAAUUUCCGUUCUUUAUAGUUGAAAAAUAAAUCAAAUAAAUUGUCUAGGUGGGUUUUGGCCGGCCUGAAUUUUUUUAGGCUUGGUUUUAGCUGACCACGCUCAGUCCCAUAGGAAGCAUGGGCGGGCCAAAUCCUAGCAGGCUCGGGCCGAGCCCACAGGCCGGGCCAAGCCAAAAAUCUCAGGCAACCCCGCCCCUAGGCAUAAUAUUAAGUUUUCCUCCUGUUUCUAUGAGUUUUUAAAUAUCGCUCAAAGGUGAUUGAAGUCUAGUGUUUGAAUUACUAGUUAUCGUUCGCCAACAAAGAAUUGUAGUUGAACGAAUCUGACCAGUGGGUACGGUUGAUCUAGAAUAAGGAUACUAUCAUGGGCCUUCUCUUAUCGUCUCCAUCUUCUUUGACAAGGCCCAGCACCACUCCAAAGUCCAAACAGUCCGCGCGUUGCCUUUGUUCAGCGCAAACGCAGCGCAGAAUCACGGCGCCCGCAUUACUACUCGCCCUCGUGAGCCAAGCAUGGUUCAGCAUUAUUGUUAAGAUCAAAGAUGAUACUAAGCAAUAUAUUAUUGUUUUAAGCAUAUUGAUAGUAUCCAAAUGAUAUCUGACCAUUACACACAACACACUACAAAAAUCACUAACAUGUGUAAGUGAAGACUAUAGAUGUUUGGAGACUUCAAAAUUUACUCUAUAAGAACUAGGUUUGACAUAUUGAUCGAAUGCCAAGUUACUUUGGGCAAAUCAUAAUCAUAAUGAUACCACAAUGUUAAUAAUAUAUUAAUACUUAAUGAUCAUGGAGCCAAUAAAAAACUCACGAGCUGGUCUUUUAAGAAAACUAGGUAAAAAUGAGGCUCCACUCGGUUUGUUUUAAAGGUUGAGCCGAACCAAAUCAAGCCAAGCUAUGAACAAGUCGAGCCAACUCGCAAAGCUUGAGCACUUUGCUAGCAUUAAUCAUAACCCUAUGAACACCUAUAGGAAAUUGGGUUAGUAGAUUUUUAAAAUUGACAAAGUCGCCAUAUGUAUCUUGAUAUUGAUGACAACAUCGCCUAAUGAAAAGUAGCCAUAUUAAUGUGCCAAACCUGAUUGUAUCUCUUGUGGACACGGGAUAUAACCAACUCCGAUGACCAGCCAAGUUAUUUUGCUAUCGAGCGAAUUUCAUAAACAAAUUUAAAAGUACUUUUUUGUUUAAGUCAUCAGAAAUUCACACCAUAUAUCGCAAAAUGUCAAAACCACAUUUUUAAAUAUAAAUAUGGAAUAGAAGUUGUAGUUAUAAUUCCUUCUAUUCCGACGCUCUCCUUGCCACUGAAUCUGCCCUUUUCCGGCAUAUCAACUACUAUCUACAUGUAAGCAAACAAAAAAAGGCAUAGGCACAUGAGAGUGACGAGUAUGCCUGCUGGAAGUGAAGGCAAAUGCUUUAAAAGUGUGGUUUCGUGAUAUGAUGAAAAGAUAUGCAAGUAAAAGUGUGACUGCCUUAAAACUGUUGCUUAGAAGUGCGAUGCUGUGAUGGAGCUGUGACAAAAAGUAGCUAGUUCUUGUAAGAUUUUCUCUUGAUCGUUUCCUCCCAUUAACAUUUGUUUCUGAACUCUAAGCAUGCUUUUAUUAUAAUUUAUAACCUAUCCGUGGCAUUCAACUCAACUAUAGCAAGAACCACGAAUGGAAAAAUAAAAAACAUAGUAAUGUUUUUUUAGAAAAACAUAGUAAUGUUUUUUUAGAAAAACAUCUGUGAUAUUGGCGUGGUGAUCUAGUCACUGUAGUUCAAUAGCAGCUAGGUUCAUAGGUCUAAAUACUGCUGAAUCAUUUCAUUAUUUGGAAUCUUUGGAGCAAGACAAACUGCCGCAUGACUACCAAUAUAGAGUGACGCCGCCUAUUUUGUAGCGAUUCUGUUUACCUUAGAUAAGGAUAAUAUAAACUGCUGCACACUGGAUCGCUCGUCAAGCCCAUGGUUUCGCCAAAACCAGAGAAAACAUAUAGCACUUGAGCUCUGCCCAUGCAAGGGAUUUUUUUUCCCAUGGUUUGGUACGUGCAUCAGGAAUGUGAACGGAAUUGGGCAUGGAAUCCACACGAGCCAGAAUGCCAGAUGCAUCUUGGCAAGCCUAGCAAUUAUUUGAGUACAGCAUGCCGGUAGAUAGGCUGCUCGACCGUGCAUCCUGCAAGUGGCCAAGGUUUUGCUGCAUGGGCGCCACCACGUAGGGACAUGUUAUACGUCGCAUUUUUUGGUUGGAGCUAAUCAAUCAACUUUUCAGUAAAAAUAAUACCUCCAUGCUCAUUCAUAGAGAUUCCUAGAUGGUCUUAACUUGCACUAGGUGUUGCCUGCAGCAGAGCUCAUUCGGCUAUUGUCUUGUCACUACCAAACCCUUAGACCAACAGAGUGUUAACUGCAAUCCACGCUCCUGUUUGUGGAUUUGCAUUCUGACGCAUCAUGUGUUCAUUGUUUGGUGCCCAAAGAAAUCACUUGCAUAGAAAACAAGGCCUCUCCACUUCCCCACAAAUUCUACCGAGAAUAAUCAGGGGCAAAUUCUGGCAUAAGGCAGACACCAGACAAAGAUGCUGAAAGGUACUCGUGCAAGUUUUCUGCAGUUGUUUUGUCUGAAAUUUGUCCAAUGUUUGCCUCCCAGGGCUUGCAUCUUUCGACUUCAAUAGUGUGUUUGGGUUUGGGAUGAGGUCAUGAGGCCCCAAAAAAUCUCAUUGAUUUAGACAGAUGUUAAAAGUUGUAUACAAGUGGUACAUCGUACAUGAUAAUUUCGCUAAAGCAAGGGUAGUAGGUGACAAUUCCGCUGUUCGGACCCAUCUCAUUUUUUAGGUGAAAUAGUAGGGGAGACGUACCUGAAAAUUAUUCCUCCAUAAUUUCACUUUGAAUGAUAUGUGAUAGAGGGGCAUUAAUAUAAUAAUUUAAACAAAUCUAGUGAUGCCUGGGGAUUUUUUUUCCAGGAAGAAUAGAGACUUCAACUGCAAAAAAGUUGUAGAAACAAACACAUUUAGCCCUCAACUCAGCAGGUCUGACAAAUUCUUGUGGUUAUAAGAUCUUAGAGAAAAAGAAGAGAUAAAUUUGAAACCUAUCUCAGAGUGUCAUGAACCAUAAACAACUCCCAUCUGAUGCCGUCUGCAACGUACUUUGAACUGAAGAGCUAAGAAAGAGUAAUUAGCCAUAGACACAACUCUAGUCAAGAUAGAGUUUGGGCUAAAACAACUUCAUCUUAGAAAUCGUUAUGAUGCAGACUAUUUCAGUUUGGGCUGCAUUAUUGAAGUGUACAAUAAUAAUAGGUAAAAUUAAAAUAAACAAGUUUCAUGAAUUAUUUGAACAACUCAUUGGAUGUUCUUGUUGCAGUCAUCUGGUGUGGCAUAGCAUAAUUCAUUCUCGGAAACGAUUCAUUUGAUCAAAUGCAUGAAUCCGAGAGUUAAGUAAUUUCUGUUGCAUAGGAUAGUUUUGCAUUGAGGAAAGCUGAGACAACCAACUGUUCGUUGGAUGUAUACUUGUUGCAUUGCAGCCAUCCGGUGUUGCAGUGCAAAUCCACAAGGCUAAGAUAGCUGACAAUUUAUUUUUUCAAACAUUUAAUUCUUCUUUUUUCCCAACCUGGAAGUUCAUUUUGAGUUGCCCAUUUGAUUGAAACAUGGAACACGUUUUGCAUAGAUUUAUUUUUCGUAGGUAAAGGUUUUGCAGCGAAGAUCUAGUUUCCGUGAUUUUCAACGGACGCACUCCGUUUUUCCUUGUGGAUACGUAAGAACAACGACGGUCCACUUGAGUCACCGAUAGAAAGCUCCGAACGGUGUACCGCUCUCCUUUGCCGACGCCGUCCGUCAGCUCACGAAAACGUGACGGACUGACGGGCAUGGGCAUGAAUUGCCCCAUUUAACGAAACUUAACCCUGUUCACACAAUCACAUAGGAUGAAUUCGGAUAAAAUUUUAAGGACUGGCCCCAGAAAUUUUAGUUUCUCUCUUCCCAUCUACACAUGGAUGUGAGCAGCGUGGUUCACCAGGCUCGCACAACGGACGAAGCCACGGCAGAGCGGCUCGCGCGCAGCCGUGCACGGCGCGGCAAAACAGCCAUCGGCGCCUCUUUCUUCUGCAUCGCCGGGGCACAUGCGCGCGCGCCCUGCCGGGGGCGGGGAACGGGAUACCAGGCGGGGACGGCCGCGCGCCCGCGGGUUUGCGGCAGCGUUGCCCCUGCCCGGAUGGUUGUUGUCGCGGCGUGGUGGCCGCGCACGGAACCGCGGUCGCGUGUCAAGCCAAUGUCCCCGGCCGCUGCGCCACACCGAUCCAAGACUUGGAUGGACAAAAAAAAUCACAGGAGCACUCACUGGCUGUCGUACAAAAUUCAUCAACACUUUUGGAUUUCGAACUUUGAAUUUGUUUAGGCUAGACGAACGCAGAUUGGGCCGAAUCUUUUCGGAACGAAAAGAAGAAGAAGAUGAAGAAGAAACAAACAACCAGUGAGAUUGACAGCGGGGUCCGAGUCCAACUCCGAGCUGGAUGACGUGAACGAUCAGACUGCGCGUUACGCUCGGCAAGAAAAGAAAGACAAAGACGGCCGCCAUAUCCAUGGAUCCCUGCCGAGACCGUGGACGGGCGGGCGUGUAGCUGAGCUGCGCAACGGAUAGCGUUGUCCGUCGUGGCAGGAUGGGUGGUGCUCGUUCCGUUCCGUCCGCGUUGGACGCCGGGGUUUCGCAGUCGCAGCCAUGCACGAUAUAUGGCCUGCCGGCGCACGUGUGCUUUAUUGACACUCCACCCUGAUCCGGCCUUAUCUAAUUCUUAUUACUGUGCUAGCCAAAUCCAAGAACCACCCGAGAAAUUCAGACUGCAACACAGUUAAAAAAAAAAGGAUGAAACAGCUUGGGCAAAGUGCUUUUGGUUGCGGCAUCUCCCGGUGCAUCACCGAAAACAAAUUUGGGUAGCGGAGAGGUGUACAAUUUUGGUUGGAGCAUUAUAUUGCUCCCCAACAAGAUAAAGCACUUCAUGAAACGGAAAGGGCGCCCCCACCGUGUCUUGCACGUAGCGCGUCACGUAUGCCGGCGGCACGUGCGGGAGCGAUUCAGUUCCAGAGCUUUUCUGGGAAUGGAACAAGGGUGACGGGGUUGUUCUGGGUCUCUUUGAUUGUGUCGCACUCAUUUUACUAAGGUCAGUUGGGAGUUUUAUGACACUAAAUUCAAUAUAAACAUCAGCAAAAUUGCUAGCUUAGCAAGAUAAUUAAUAGAGGGAGUUUUAUAAGAUGAGAGAGGAGUUUCAUCCCCAUAACACUUAUCUGGCACAGUUAGCUAGUUCUUAGUAUAGGUAACUGCGUACUGAGAAUGGCCUUAAGUAAUUCAGUUUUGAAACUUCAGUUCAUAUGUUCGUAUCAAGCAGUUCUAUUGAUGUGGCUAUAUAAAGUGUUAAAUCUUUCAAGGGAUCUCACUUAAAUAUACACUAUUAAAUACCGCAGAACUUCCGACAAAAAGCAGCUCGCACUCGGUUUUGGGAAAAGAUAAAAAAAAAAGACAGCCUGCGCAGCGGUGUUUCCGAAAACAAAAAACAAAAAUGCGAGAAGCGCACAAAAAGAAACAGAUUGUUGGUUGGAGCAUCAUCGCUCACAACAAAUCUACCGUAACACUUGCGCAAGCGAUGGACACCAGCUGGCUAAGCUUUUUGUGUCGAUAUGGAACAGAAAGGGGCACUGUAGUGUUGGUACCUUGCACGUAUGCGUCCGUUACAUGUUCGACGAACGUGAGUCACCCGUCGUCGUAGAUGAGACCACGCCAAUUCAGUUCGAUGAGAGCCUUUUUUUAAUUCUUCUGUGGAGAAGACAACAGCAACCGUGACGUGUUGGAUUGUUGUACGCGCCGCGCCAUUAGCUUUUUCACUAGCCUGAGACCACUUCCAACUUUGCAAACUUGCUCGUAUUACGUGUAAAUCUCAUCCGAGCUGGGAUUAUGCCCAAGUGCCCAACCAAUUUUGUGCACGCACGUUUCACUUUUAAUGUUUGCGGUGGGCUGCUGACCCUGGGUUUGUGGCCUGUGAAGAAAAAGCGUUAACUAGAUGCUUGCAAGCUUCUUCAUCACACACUGUUCGUUGCGCUCGUCGCCCUGUCACCAACCGGUCCCUUCAGGUCGAUCACACCACCGGUUCGCCACGUCAGUGUCUCGCUUCACUCGCUAUAAAUAGAGCCCGGCGCCGGCUCUGCUUCAUCACCAAUUGUGAUCUCUGCUAGCUACCGUACCUCCAGUGUGUGCUCGUGCUAACAGCAGCAAUGGCGCCCGCUCAAUGUGUGGCCUCGCAGAGGGUGUUCCACUUCGGCAAGGGCAAGAGCGAGGGCAACAAGACGAUGAAGGAGCUGCUGGGCGGCAAGGGCGCGAACCUGGCGGAGAUGUCGAGCAUCGGGCUGUCGGUGCCGCCGGGGUUCACGGUGUCGACGGAGGCCUGCCAGCAGUACCAGGAGGCGGGGCGCUCCCUGCCGCAGGGCCUCUGGGACGAGAUCAUCGACGGCCUGGCGUGGGUGGAGGAGGAAAUGGGCGCCCGCCUCGGCGACCCGCAGCGCCCGCUCCUGCUCUCCGUCCGCUCCGGCGCCGCGGUAAUGCCAUGGCCAUGCCAUCCUUGUUCGUUUGGUUCAUUCGCCUGCUCGCUUCUGAUCGCUUUGCCUUUGUGUUAUGUGAUAUGCGCAGGUGUCGAUGCCCGGGAUGAUGGACACGGUGCUCAACCUGGGACUCAACGACGAGGUGGCCGCCGGGCUCGGCGCCAAGAGCGGCGAGCGCUUCGCCAACGACUCCUACCGCCGCUUCCUCGACAUGUUCGGCAACGUCGUGAGUAUCUCCUGCCCAUCUGUCCUAAUGACUCAUCAGCGCCUCGUCGGAUCGGAGACGAUCUCGCAUGUUAAGCUAGCUUGGUUGUUGAUCACUCUACUCGCUUACUUGUAUGACUAGCUAGCUUGGUAGGUAGCUUAGCUAGGCGGCCUAUGCCUAGUUGUGCGUGCAUCGACCCAUGAUCGCUUCCGCGGGUGACCCGCGUCCGUCCGAGACGACGGCGGCUGCGUCGCACGCUUGCGGCCGCCGCCGGGGGCCACCAGCGUCGGGGGUUUCGUCUGUUUUGCCAGGCAGGACGCAGGACGGUGGGAGAGUACUUGCAGCACAGUGCUGUGUUUUCUUGGGUUAACCGAACGUGUGGGGAUCAUUCGGCACGGUUAAGCCAGUGAACGUGCUCGAUGCCCCGGCGUUGGAGUUAACCAGUGAAGUGAUUGGGCCAAGCACCUUUGCUUUUUGCUGCCAAUAAUAGGCAAGGUCCAAAUCAGAGAAGCUUUUCUACCUUUUUUAUUUCUUCUUAAAAAGUAAAAAAAAUUUGCGGACCUAAAAAGAAUAAAAAAUAUUUUCCAACGCAAAUGGAGGAAGGAAGUUGACGGUUCAAGAAAGGAACACGGCGACGGCAUCGUUGUAUCAGGUAAGAGGAAUUCGCAGGUGUGUGCAUAUUCCCCUGCAGAAAUUUAACAUGGACGGAGCAGUAUAUACAAGGUCAUUGUCAGUGUUCAAGCUCAUGCUAGACAGCCCUGUACGGUAUGUCGGUUGUCGGAGGUACGCCUCGUUUGUGGGGCUGAAGGACCGAUGACGGCGGCGCCUGUCUUCACCAGCAGAGUUUGACACUCUUUCCACCCGGAAAAUGGGUACAAGACGAUGAGGAAAAGAAAGUUUCUUGAAACGCCAUAGAAAAAUAUUUUUUAAAAACAAUGAGCAUUUAAUAUGGUCAGUUGGGGGCUGAGGGGAGAAGGUUGGUUGGUUCAACCUGCACACACAAGUGAUGACAUCUGCUAUGGAGAUGCUCAACCAGAGUUGGUUUUGGUCAUCUGUAAUUAGUUUUUUCAAUGACACUUCUAACUAGAAUGCUCAAACAGAGUUUUGUUUGUACUAUAAGAUAAUUGUUCCUCAGCAGAGCCUUUCUUUACCACCAGGUCAUGGACAUUCCCCACGCACUGUUCGAGGAGAAGCUUGAAGCCAUGAAGGAAGCCAAGGGGGUGAAGAACGACAAUGACCUGACUGCCUCUGACCUCAAAGAGCUGGUGGCUCAGUACAAGGAGGUCUACGUCGAAGCCAAGGGGGAGCCAUUUCCCUCAGGUAUGCCCACCGCAGCCUCACCCUCAGUUGAUAAUAUCUGUAUGAAAAAAAAAAUUCUCUUGAAACUAAAGCUGUUUCUUUGCAUCAAACUUAUGCAUGCCUUUACCUUGUUUUGUCUUGCAGAUCCCAAGAAGCAGCUUGAGCUAGCAGUGUUGGCUGUGUUCAACUCGUGGGACAGCCCCAGGGCCAACAAGUACAGGAGCAUUAACCAGAUCACUGGUCUGAAAGGCACUGCUGUGAACGUGCAGUCCAUGGUGUUUGGCAACAUGGGGGACACUUCUGGCACUGGCGUGCUCUUCACUAGGAAUCCUAGCACUGGAGAGAAGAAGCUGUAUGGCGAGUUCCUGGUGAAUGCUCAGGUAUGGACCAGUUUCUGUUGUGCCUAUUUGAUUCACAAUCUUAGCUGCCCUGUUUGAUCAAGUUAUUUUACACAAGUUAUAUUAAACAUGCAGUAGUAUCAACGAAUCUGUAUAAUGUAUGUGUGUUUCUGGUUCAGGGUGAGGAUGUGGUUGCUGGAAUCAGAACCCCGGAGGAUCUUGAUGCCAUGAAGGCACAGAUGCCGGAUGCUUAUGUAGAGCUCGUUGAGAACUGCAAGAUACUGGAGAGCCACUACAAAGAAAUGAUGGUACCUUAUUAUUGCAUUUUCAACCUUUACUGCACCAUUUAUUUUUGAGCUAUAUUUAAACAUGAUCUCUUUAAUAAUUUGCAACAUAAGCGCACUUGAAUACUGGUGUUGCUUCAAUGUGUUCUGUAGAUUGGCAUUGUGUCUCUGUUACUGCCAUUGGCCAUGAUCUCAGACUUGCUUGCUUUUUAUGCAUGAUGCAGGACAUUGAAUUUACCGUUCAGGAAAAUAGGCUCUGGAUGUUACAGUGCAGAUCAGGAAAACGUACAGGCCAAGGGGCGGUAAAGAUUGCUGUGGACAUGGUUAAUGAGGGUCUUGUUGAGCGCCGUCAAGCGAUUAAGAUGGUAGAGCCAGGCCACCUGGACCAGCUUCUCCAUCCUCAGGUAAUGGAUAACCAUGAGGCCCGUAAACUGAUUGUGCCUUACUUGAAAUUCAGUACUCUUAUAAGUUUGGCCUUACUUGGAAUUCACUUUAUAAGUUAAGUACUGGAUAUGUAUUAACAUCACUGUUUUAAUCUUGUCCAAUGAAAACCAGUUUGAGAACCCAUCAGCAUACAAGGAUCAAGUAAUCGCUACAGGCUUACCAGCUUCACCUGGGGCUGCUGUGGGCCAAAUUGUAUUUACUGCAGAGGACGCUGAAGCAUGGCAUGCCCAAGGGAAAGCUGCUAUCCUGGUAAACACCAUUUUAUCCUCAUUUUUAAGAAAAAAAGGUCUUCUGCAGUUUUUGUGUCAUUUUGAUCUGGACUUUGUGCUUCGAUGAAAAGAUCUGUUAAUUGAGCAAAACUGGUCUAUUUACUGGACCUGUUAGAAUAGUUGCUUGCAGAGUUACAGUCACAAAAAUCCCACUUAUCACAGACAGCCAUUUUUGAAAUGCAUAUGGAAGCUCCAAGUCGUAUCGCUUCAUCUUUUGCAUUCUGAGAAUUUUUUCUUUGCAAAUAUAUAGGUGAGGACAGAGACCAGCCCAGAGGAUGUUGGUGGCAUGCACGCAGCUGUUGGAAUUCUUACAGCAAGAGGUGGGAUGACCUCUCAUGCUGCUGUGGUAGCACGUGGUUGGGGAAAAUGUUGUGUCUCAGGAUGCUCAAGCGUUCUCGUAAAUGAUGCUGAGAAGGUGAAUAGAAUUCUUGUUUGCACAUCUUCUUCUUUGUAGAAGGUGACAUGCCAUGUUAAAGUUUGUAACAGGAUUAUGACAUUCUUUGUAGAUGUGCUCCGUCCGCCAUUUUUAAGUUCUUAUUAACGAGAUUUUGAGGAUGUAGAUGUUUCCUUACUUUGCUAUGUCUACAUUUACAGUCUGUAGUGAUUGGAGACAAGGUGAUGCAUGAAGGUGAGUGGCUAUCACUGAAUGGAUCUACUGGUGAAGUCAUCGUGGGGAAGCAGCCACUUUCCCCACCAGUCCUCAGUGGUGAUCUGGGAACCUUCAUGUCCUGGGUAGAUGAAGUUAGGCAACUGAAGGUAAAUUCCUAGAAAUAACAAAUAUGUAAUAUUAGUUAAAACAUGGAUACAAACUGUUGGAAGUAGAAACCAACAAAAAGGGCAUCAGAUUAUUUAUUCAGACAGGCCAAAGCUAGUCAACCCCACUACACAUUUUUCAACAGAAAUGCUUAUUCGUACAUAUGAUCCACCUUCCAGGUUUUGGCUAAUGCGGAUACCCCUGAGGAUGCACUGACAGCAAGAAACAAUGGGGCAGAAGGAAUUGGACUAUGCCGGACGGAGCACAUGGUAUGUAUUUUAGUUACUGUCCAAUAUCUUUUGGGUGGGAUCUUGGAAAACUUACUCUUUCUUGAAUUCCUUCGUCGAACAGUUGGGUAAACUUUAAGGACCUCCCGUUCUAGUCUCAUGUUCUCCUUUUCUGCACUUUGGCAGUUCUUUGCUUCGGAUGAGAGGAUUAAGGCUGUGAGGCAGAUGAUUAUGGCUCCCACACUUGAACUGAGGCAGAAGGCACUAGAUCGUCUUUUGCCUUAUCAGAGGUCUGACUUUGAAGGCAUUUUCCGUGCUAUGGAUGGUAUGUGAAAAUCACGAUGCAUUCAUUUACAUGCUCUCCAAUUGAACUGGAUGCACUAGUGUUACUGAACAUAACAAGAGUAAGCAACCUUCUUAAAUAGACAACAUUGACUACUAAUGUAAAGUGAAAAGGUAGACAAGUUUUAAACCUUAGGAUGCAAAAUACUUCAAAAAUAAGAACGAAAUUGGGCCAGUAACAUAUUGCAUCAAUUAUUUAACUUGGUAACAUAAAGUUCUGCUAUGAUUUAUCCAUUAGUUUUUUUUAAUCUUUUAUAGCGAGUGGUAUAUGUACAUGUUUCAUGGAAACAGAUAUAGAAUUAAACUACUAGAAUAAAUUUUAACAUGUAUUGUAGUUAGUUCCACAGUAUGUAUUUUAAAGUGCGGAAUGGAUUUGAACAUUAUUUUUUUUGCAUUUCAGGGCUUUCAGUGACUAUUCGGCUUCUGGACCCCCCACUUCAUGAGUUUCUUCCUGACGGGAAUGUUGAAGACAUUGUGCGUGAAUUAUGUUCUGAAACUGGAGCCAAUCAGGAGGAAGCCCUUGCAAGAAUUGAAAGUCUUUCAGAAGUAAAUCCAAUGCUUGGUUUCCGUGGGUGCAGGUUGGUUUUUGUGCUCCGUUUAAAUCAGUCACCCCCCCUCCUUGAUCCAUUUGGUUCCCUUGUUAGUGAAAUAUUAAAAAGAAUAAACUCUGUAUAUUUACCUCGACUAAUAUUGGAACUGCUAAAAUUCCAGGCUCGGUAUAUCAUAUCCUGAGCUAACAGAAAUGCAAGCCCGUGCCAUCUUUGAAGCUGCUAUAGCGAUGACCAACCAGGGUGUUCAAGUUUUCCCAGAGAUAAUGGUUCCUCUUGUUGGGACACCUCAGGCAUGCAUCUUUAUUUCCUUAUUUGUGCAUAUGGUAUCUCUGCAGUUCAUGGUGUUCAAAAUGACAAAAUCAAAAUUGAAUAAACAACCAAGUUCUGUACACAUGUAAUUUACGAUUUUAUGCAAACAUCAAGUUGACCUACACCCAAUUUCCCACCAAAUUCAUUUCUUGAAAUUUUCUCUCUCGAAUUCUAAGUUUAUUGCUUUCACUUGAUUUUUCCUUCAGACAUCUGACAUUUGACUUUUGCAGGAACUGGGGAAUCAAGUGGCCCUUAUCCGUGAAACUGCUAACAAAGUUUUCGCUGCUCUGGGUAAAACCAUUGACUACAAAAUUGGAACUAUGAUUGAAAUUCCGAGGGCAGCUCUAGUAGCUGAUGAGGUAGGAAGCAUCUAACUCCCUUCAGAAUAAUCUUAAAUAUUGCUGUUUAGGUUUAGCUUUUAGAUCAUAUUUUUCAUGAAUGGUUUAGUAAUAGAACCCCGGAUUUUUACUCUAAAACAUGUGAAUAGUAACUGAUGGUAUGAAUUUAUUAAGUGCAAAUAAUAAGUUUAUCCUCUAAUUUAAAAAAAAAACUGACAUUCUUGUUUUGGUUUCACAACCUGACAGAUAGCAGAGCAGGCUGAAUUCUUCUCUUUUGGAACGAACGACCUCACACAGAUGACAUUUGGCUACAGCAGGGAUGAUGUGGGGAAGUUUCUUCCCAUUUAUCUGUCUCAGGGUAUCCUCCAACAUGAUCCCUUUGAGGUAAAAUUUUAGCAGCUCUCACCCUUCAGUUUUAGAUGAUAUACCUGCAUUUUCAUCAUCCACUCUUGUUUUUCAAGGAAUAUUUCCAUCAUCCACAGAUGCGAGCAUCUCAUGUCCUCUAGGCAUUUUUCAUGUCCUUGACUUUUGGUUACGUGCAUGCUCUGGUAAAAUUCAACCUAGUAACUUGCCCAUUGAAUGUUGAUAAACAUAUCAGGUGCUGGAUCAGAGGGGAGUGGGCGAGCUGGUUAAGUUUGCUACAGAGAGGGGUCGCAAAGCUAGGCCUAACUUGAAGGUUAGUUUUUGGGACUUGUGGACAUUGGCUCUUUUCCUUAGAAAUCAUGGUUUCAUUGUUUGGUGCUGUCUGCAAACAGGUGGGCAUCUGUGGAGAACACGGUGGGGAGCCUUCGUCAGUUGCAUUCUUUGCAAAGUCGGGGCUGGAUUAUGUUUCUUGCUCGCCUUUCAGGUUGGUCAAGUGAUAAACUCAAGAUACAACUCCCAGAUUCAUAACUGUAGCAAAACCUUAACUACUUUUUAUGAAAUAUCUUGUGCAGGGUUCCCAUCGCCAGGCUAGCUGCAGCUCAGGUGCUCGUCUGAGGGCACCGCCUCAUCGGCAACCGGAUCACCUGCUGUUGGUGCGUCUGGUGAAGAAUACUAAUACAAAGCCAUGGAACGGUGGAACUCUGCUGCCUGGCAAAGGCCGUUGUAUCUUGUAUGAAGUCUCCGUGCGCGUGCGCAUGUAAGACUUAAUGUGUGGUUUUCUGCAUUUUCCCUUGAACUACCAUGGUAAUGUAGUACCAAACAGAGAUGAUGACGAAGAACAAUCGAAUAAAUUAAUUGGCGAUUAC